Long non-coding RNA from Xenopus laevis (African clawed frog), 1759 nucleotides. RefSeq lists it as uncharacterized. The record is from RefSeq and is a predicted model, not a curated record. The transcript has 3 exons. Lineage: Eukaryota; Metazoa; Chordata; Amphibia; Anura; Pipidae.
CCCCAUCUCUAUAGGUGGUAUUGGUGCAUUUGUCCUCCUUGCUUUGCUGGUUCUGUUAUUUCUCCUUCUCCAAGGAAGUCCUCCUAAGGAUCCUUUAUUCUAUGGAUGCCAUUCCAAAUGCAGCCUCCAGCCUUCCCCCAAAGCCAAUGCACAAGGGGACAUGGGACCAAAACACCCAUACGUGCCACAGGACCGGCAGGCAACUUGUGAGUGAAUCUCAGGAACAACAGAGGCUCAUUCCAGUAGAAGCCUCAGCUCAGUGCCGCUCCCUCAUCCCCUAGCCUUGGCUAGCCUGUGCCUUCAGGAACCCUCUUCCAAAAACCCAUUGUUCUUGCACUUACGCGCUUCUGUUUACACACUCUGGUUUGCUGCCUUUUUUUGUUUUUUUUUUCCUUUUAAUUAUUUUUAUUCUAUGGUUUUGAUGAAUGUAUUGUACAUAAUUUGCCCCCAACCCCUAAUGUGUCUGAGUGGAGUUCCUUUGUGGGUGAAGAAAUCAUUAAGACUGGGAGUCCAGUUAGUUCCUCUUUAAAGGAGAUAUCUCUGGAUAAAAUAUUGGCAUGUGUUUUUCUCUUUUUGGGUUGCUUUCUCCUUUAAAAUAAGAUGGUUUGCUUGGCCAAUGAAUCCGAUCAGUGUCUAUUGCUGGGAUGAGUUACAGGCACUGAUUGUGUUAGCUGUGUUUGCUUGCUGAGGAUGAUGGGAACUGUAUGCCAGGAAGAUGCUAGUAUUGGCAUAUUAUAGUUGAAGAAUGUAGUAUUAAAAGAAAACUCACUGUUAAGUACUGCUGUUUUCUAUCAAGAAGGAUGUUGUGAGUUGCAGUUCAAAGAUUCCUGCAGGACCAAUGUGCCCUAUUUAUGAGACAGGGUUCUCUCCUUGAACAUCCCUGCAUAUUUGCAAUUAAAAGACAUGUAAACCCCCAAAACAAAUUAAUGUAAAAUUGGUCUGCCUAGCACUUUUGCAGUAUGUUUUUCUCAUUUUCAGGAUUUCAGCAGUUUGUACCCUACUCAUGUAAUGACAUUAAAGCAACAGCGCCACCUGUUAUUUAUUUUGUCCAUGCGGCCACAGUCUUGUGAUAUCGCCAUGCUUGGAACUGACCUGAAAAACAUCAGGUGACUCUUCUCUGCUCGCUCGCUUCCUUUUCUGAGCAGAGCAAUGUCACAAGAGUUUCCUUUUCUCAGUAACUUAACUUAACAGCAGGUGGCACUGUUUCCCUGUAUUAGCAGUGCAAAUACGGCUCGUGUCUUGAAAACACAGAAGGGAAUAACUCUUCCCGUGGAAGGGGUAAUUCUUCAAUAUUGUGCAGUCUCCCAUUUCCAACACUGCUGUUAUUUAAAGUGUCCGACUCUGGAGCUGGAGCAGCCAGCCAAGCGAUGUUCCCUUUAAUCCUGAGUAUUAUGCUGUGCCGUGUGAGCGCAAUGUGUAGCAAUAACCAGCCGACUAACCAACCUGAAGGUGAAUGGACAUGUCUGUUCAAGAGUCGGAACCAGAAAGCAGAGGGAUUUGCGUAUACUGCAUAUACUUAAAAUCAAUGGCAUUUACAGAUAAAUUUAAAGCCACUGGAAAAGUGAAAUCGCAAUCCAUGUGAUGGACUCGUUUAUUAAAAAAAAGCAGUCAGCAUGAAGUGUGAUAAAUAAUUGUGGUUUUUUUUUGGAUGUAUAAUGAAGAUGAGGAAUUCACCAGGGAAUAGUGGAUUUUCCACACGGAUUUGUUCAUUUUGUAUAAAGAUGCGUUGUUAGAAUAAACCGCUCUAAGACAUUUAACC